CAGUGGGAGUCAGUCCCACCGGGGAAAAAGUCAGAGGCCCCGUAGCUUGGGUCGCAUCAGCGGAGGAAACAAAGCGGAUGAAGCCGACCGACCAAGCCAUCUUUAAGGAUGGUGAGCGAGUCCCCAGGCCGUAACGCAA
Actinobacteria bacterium RBG_13_63_9 is the source of this 139-nucleotide non-coding RNA. The record is from Rfam. NCBI's taxonomy places the organism in Bacteria, Bacillati, Actinomycetota.